GUUAAGCACACGUGGCACAAAGCUCAAGGACCGGCAGAAGGAUCCCGGUUCGAGCCCCCGGCUCCCCACCUGCAGGGGAGUCGCUUCACAGGCGGUGAAGCAGGUCUGCAGGUGUCUGUCUUUCUCUCCCCUCUGUCUUCCCCUCCUCUCUCCAUUUCUCUCUGUCCUAUCCAACAACGAUGACAUCAAUACCAGCAACAAUAAUAACUACAACAAUAAAACAACAAGGGCAACAAAAGGG
This is a long non-coding RNA of Erinaceus europaeus (western European hedgehog), 241 nucleotides long. RefSeq lists it as uncharacterized. NCBI's taxonomy places the organism in Eukaryota, Metazoa, Chordata, Mammalia, Eulipotyphla, Erinaceidae. The record is from RefSeq and is a predicted model, not a curated record. The transcript is spliced from 2 exons.